GACGAACGCUGGCGGCGUGCUUAACACAUGCAAUUCGAACGUAAAGGCCCUGCUUUUGUGGGUUGCUCGAGUGGCGAACGGGUGAGUAACACGUGAGUAACUUGCCCUUGACUUUGGGAUAACUUCAGGAAACUUGGGCUAAUACCGGUUAGGAGCUCCUUUUGCAUGGUUGUGGUUGGAAAGUUUCGGCGGUUGGGUAUGGACUCGCGGCUUAUCAGCUUGUUGGUGGGGUAGUGGCUUACCAAGGCUUUGACGGGUAGCCGGCCUGAGAGGGUGACCGGCCACAUUGGGACUGAGAUACGGCCAAGACUCCUACGGGAGGCAGCAGUGGGGAAUAUUGCACGAUGGGCGGAAGCCUGAUGCAGCAACGCCGCGUGCGGGAUGACGGCCUUCGGGUUGUAAACCGCUUUCGCCUGUGACGAAGAGUGAGUGACGGUAAUGGGUAAAGAAGCAACGGCUAACUACGUG
This 468-nucleotide ribosomal RNA is filed under the name uncultured bacterium. RNAcentral describes it as "partial 16S ribosomal RNA". It matches the Rfam family "Bacterial small subunit ribosomal RNA", at positions 28 to 507 of the family's 1533-position model. The record is from RNAcentral.